GCCAGGCAUGGUGGCGCAUACCUGUAGUCCCCGCUACUCCGUAGGCUGAGGCAGAAGGAUCGCUGAAGCUCAUGAGUUUGGGGCCAGCCUGGGUAACAUAGCAAGACCCAGUCUCAA
This 117-nucleotide small RNA is filed under the name Marmota monax (woodchuck). The record is from RNAcentral. Lineage: Eukaryota; Metazoa; Chordata; Mammalia; Rodentia; Sciuridae.